AGUGAACGCUGGCGGUAGGCCUAACACAUGCAAGUCGAACGGCAGCACAGUAAGAGCUUGCUCUUACGGGUGGCGAGUGGCGGACGGGUGAGGAAUACAUCGGAAUCUACUUUUUCGUGGGGGAUAACGUAGGGAAACUUACGCUAAUACCGCAUACGACCUACGGGUGAAAGCAGGGGAUCUUCGGACCUUGUGCGAUUGAAUGAGCCGAUGUCGGAUUAGCUAGUUGGCGGGGUAAAGGCCCACCAAGGCGACGAUCCGUAGCUGGUCUGAGAGGAUGAUCAGCCACACUGGAACUGAGACACGGUCCAGACUCCUACGGGAGGCAGCAGUGGGGAAUAUUGGACAAUGGGCGUAAGCCUGAUCCAGCCAUACCGCGUGGGUGAAGAAGGCCUUCGGGUUGUAAAGCCCUUUUGUUGGGAAAGAAAAGCAGCAGGUUAAUACCCCGCUGUUCUGACGGUACCCAAAGAAUAAGCACCGGCUAACUUCGUG
This 492-nucleotide ribosomal RNA is filed under the name uncultured bacterium. RNAcentral's name for it is "partial 16S ribosomal RNA". It matches the Rfam family "Bacterial small subunit ribosomal RNA", at positions 29 to 507 of the family's 1533-position model. The record is from RNAcentral.